GAUUAACGCUGGCGGCGUGCAUGAAACAUGCAAGUCGAGCGCGGUUCAUGGUGGGGUAACCCAACAUGAUCUAGCGGCGAACGGGUGAGUAACACGUGAGCAACCUACCUCUGAGACCGGGAUAGCCCUGAGAAAUCAGGAUUAAUACCGGAUGUGGUCACGACGGGGCAUCCCGACGUGCCUAAAGGCGCAAGCCGCUCAAUGACGGGCUCGCGGCUUAUUAGCUUGUUGGUGGGGUAAUGGCCUACCAAGGCGAUGAUGAGUAGCUGGUCUGAGAGGACGAUCAGCCACACUGGGACUGAGACACGGCCCAGACUCCUACGGGAGGCAGCAGUUAGGAAUUUUCCGCAAUGGGCGAAAGCCUGACGGAGCAACGCCGCGUGGACGA
This 388-nucleotide ribosomal RNA is filed under the name uncultured bacterium. Its description in RNAcentral is "bacterial SSU rRNA". It matches the Rfam family "Bacterial small subunit ribosomal RNA", at positions 28 to 408 of the family's 1533-position model. The record is from RNAcentral.